Non-coding RNA from Camellia sinensis, 400 nucleotides. Lineage: Eukaryota; Viridiplantae; Streptophyta; Magnoliopsida; Ericales; Theaceae. The record is from RefSeq and is a predicted model, not a curated record.
AGUGGAAAUUCUGGAGGGUCAUCCAAGAGAGGAAGAGUAGAGAGAAAUAGAGAGCCAAAGGAAGAGAUAGAAGAAGAGGGUCAAGAUCAAGUUAGAAUACAUCAAGAUUAUGCAAGAUUAAGUAGCUAUGAAGAUUCUAGAUUCAUAAAGAUUUCAAGGGACUUUCUCCAUGGAUUUCGGAAUUUGAACUCAUCACAUGUGAUCAACUCGAAGGUCAGCCCUAGGUCAACUUCAUGAAACUUUUGUGGGACCUGUUUUGCAAAGCCUCCAAAAUUCGAGCCUUUUGUUCUUUUGAAGAGUUCCUUUGAUGCCACAUUUUAGUUAAGUCUUUGAUGGCUUUUGUUGAACACUUGGUUAAUAUGUAAAUUUUGGGUGUGAACUCUUUAUAUUGCAUGAUUAA